Molecule: ribosomal RNA, 521 nt
Filed under: uncultured bacterium
Lineage: Bacteria
Description: bacterial SSU rRNA
Rfam family: Archaeal small subunit ribosomal RNA
Source: RNAcentral
AACCUCCGCAAUGUGAGAAAUCGCGACGGGGGGAUCCCAAGUGCCAUUCUUAACGGGAUGGCUUUUCAUUAGUGUAAAGAGCUUUUGGAAUAAGGGCUGGGCAAGACCGGUGCCAGCCGCCGCGGUAACACCGGCAGCUCUAGUGGUAGCAGUUUUUAUUGGGCCUAAAGCGUCCGUAGCCGGUUUAAUAAGUCUCUGGUGAAAUCCUGUAGCUUAACUGUGGGAAUUGCUGGAGAUACUAUUAGACUUGAGACCGGGAGAGGUUAGAGGUACUCCCAGGGUAGAGGUGAAAUUCUGUAAUCCUGGGAGGACCGCCUGUUGCGAAGGCGUCUAACUGGAACGGUUCUGACGGUGAGGGACGAAAGUUAGGGGCGCGAACCGGAUUAGAUACCCGGGUAGUCCUGGCCGUAAACGAUGUGGACUUGGUGUUGGGGUGGCUUUGAGCUGCUCCAGUGCCGAAGGGAAGCUGUUAAGUCCGCCGCCUGGGAAGUACGGUCGCAAGACUGAAACUUAAAGGAAUU